RNAcentral lists this ribosomal RNA (206 nucleotides) under uncultured bacterium. Its description in RNAcentral is "partial 16S ribosomal RNA". It matches the Rfam family "Bacterial small subunit ribosomal RNA", at positions 302 to 525 of the family's 1533-position model. The record is from RNAcentral.
GAUCAGCCACACUGGGACUGAGACACGGCCCAGACUCCUACGGGAGGCAGCAGUGGGGAAUAUUGGACAAUGGGCGCAAGCCUGAUCCAGCCAUGCCGCGUGAGUGAUGAAGGCCUUAGGGUUGUAAAGCUCUUUCAGUGGGGACGAUAAUGACGGUACCCACAGAAGAAGCCCCGGCUAACUUCGUGCCAGCAGCCGCGGUAAUA